Panicum virgatum (switchgrass) is the source of this 1042-nucleotide long non-coding RNA. RefSeq lists it as uncharacterized. The record is from RefSeq and is a predicted model, not a curated record. Lineage: Eukaryota; Viridiplantae; Streptophyta; Magnoliopsida; Poales; Poaceae. The transcript has 2 exons.
CGCUGCCGGUUCAGCUCCAUCGCGUGGCGAAUGGUGCCGCUGGCCUCCGGCGUCCGCUCAUAGCCGCGGGAGCAGAUGGUCGAAAGCUGAGUGGGGCUUUGCGCUUCCGGCGGGAUGGCUCCGGCGGCGCCGAACUGGCGAGAACAGGAGCCAAACCAAUCCAGGGUGUUUAAUGAAAAAUUAUAGGGGUCUAGUAUAUGAAAUAUUCGGGCCGAGAUUCGAAUUAGGGGUCUGUAUGUAAAUGUAGAACAUUCGAUUGUGAUCCAAAUGAUAGGGCGGACAGAUGGCAGCCGCCAUGACCCCCCACCCCGCGCCGCGAGCCGGCAAAGUUCCUCUGCAAGACGGCGCGGGAACGGUUAAGCGACGGCCAUUCGCUGCUUCGUGGUGCCCAGCGCUGCAACCACGACCGCCGGUCAGCCGCGGUUCGCAUGGAGACGGCCAGACGGGAACGACGACGAAGAUGUGGCUCCUCACUACACGGCCUGCGUGCCGGUUGGUGGGGGGUUCCGGCGUCUGCCCGCUAAGUGCUCGACGCUUUGCCUGCAUGGGGGCAAAUCUUUUCCACCCACACGUACCUGCGACCAGGGUGCACAUACCACGUGAUCUAUGCAGAACAAGAAAAAACUGCGCAAACUGACGUGGUUUGAAGGAUGGACAGGAGUUCUGAAGAAACGACCGGGGCAUCUCAUCUCGUCUCAUCGCCUGCCUCUGCCUUCCUUCCCACUGUCCCCUGAAUCCCCUUCUCGUGAGGUAGAAAGCUGAGCAACCACAUGAGCAACAACUUCAAUGCGGCUGCAGCUUGCCUGUUCGUUCGAUUGCAGAUAUGGUUGCUGAAUUUAAUACAACGAUGCCAUUACAGAACUCCUGUAAGCAGGCAAAAGCAGAGUCGGACCUGAUGAAGAAUGGAAUUGAAUUGCAGCGAGUAGCCGAGUACUGCACACGAGAUGGUGGAAUCAUGGCCUCCUUUUUAAUUGGCACUGCAGUACAGUGAGUAACAGUUGUCCUCAGAUAACACUGAUUUACAUAUGAAUAGCAUCAGUAA